Molecule: ribosomal RNA, 448 nt
Filed under: uncultured bacterium
Lineage: Bacteria
Description: bacterial SSU rRNA
Rfam family: Bacterial small subunit ribosomal RNA
Source: RNAcentral
AACGAACGCUGGCGGCAUGCCUAACACAUGCAAGUCGAACGCCUGUAGCAAUACAGGAGUGGCAGACGGGUGCAUAACACGUGGGAACCUACCCUUGGGUUCGGAAUAACCGCGGGAAACUGCGGCUAAAUACCGGAUACGUCCUGUGGGAGAAAGAUUCAUCGCCCUUGGAGGGGCCCGCGUCGGAUUAGCUAGUUGGUGAGGUAACGGCUCACCAAGGCGACGAUCCGUAGCUGAUCUGAGAGGAUGAUCAGCCACACUGGAACUGAGACACGGUCCAGACUCCUACGGGAGGCAGCAGUGGGGAAUAUUGGACAAUGGGCGCAAGCCUGAUCCAGCAAUGCCGCGUGGGUGAUGAAGGCCUUCGGGUUGUAAAGCCUUUGGCAGGACGAUGAUGACGGUACCUGCAGAAUAAGCCCGGCUAACUUCGUGCCAGCAGCCGCGGUAA